UGGUCUGUCACAUUGGCUGCAGAUGAAGCAGGGUUUGUUGUGGUCAAGCAGAUGUGGCCAAGAGCAGAGCCCUGGCUGCAGGGGUGGGCACGGGGCAGGCAUGCAAGGAACACAUGGCCCUGGGCUGCGCUGUGCUUCUGCCAUCAUCCCUGGUACAAAGCCCAGGGGGCAGAUGGCAGCUCCCAUGGGAUGCAGAGGGAUGCUUUGCUAUUGCAUCCCGUGCUUCACCAAAUGGGCGCGGGGAUGCAGUAAUGGGGUGCAGGGCAGUUUAGCUGUCCCUGUGCCACAUGGGAACCCACAAUGUGCCCACACUGGGCUGCAGCCAGGGGUGGUGUAUCUCCCCAUGCAGUGCUCAAAGCACCGAUCAGAUCGGGGUGUUCUGCCCUGUGUUCUGCCCCAGUGAUGUAUCUGUGUGCCCUUAGCUGAGGGCUAAACCUGGGGAUGGGGUUUAUUUCAGUGCGUGCAGUCAGGGUGUAGAUGGAGCUAUUCGCAUCCCUCUCUAAUUACCAAUGAGCCAGGCAGCCAGGAAAAAAUUAACAGACAAAAAGGAUGAUGCUUUUAUUUUAGUUUUAGUAACUCUGCUCAUGGAAAAGCUGUGCUGUUACUGCCAGCAAAUGGCCGAGCAGGGGCCAGGGGCUUUUCUGCCCUGGCAGCAUCUGGUUGUGGUAAAUCUGUGCUCACUGCCAAUCUCGUGUCAAUAAAAAGGGCUGAGCAAUUCCCCACGGCCUGCGUGGGGCAGGAGGACAUGGAGAUUUUGCCCAGGCCCCUGAGGGAUGGCUGCUCCCUCUGUCCCUGCAGAAGGGCUGAGCUCUGUGUGAGUUCUGGGAGGGUUUCCACUGUUCCACCAGCUUGGCUGUAUCCACGAUUCUGCAUCCCCUCCCAGCUUUCCAAAGCAGCUGCUGGGAGCCAGCAGCACUCGGCAGAGCAGCACAGGGACUGCUGUAAUGGGGUCCAGAGAAGGAGGGAAGCACCCGGACACCUCGAGCUGCUGGGCUCAUGCUGCAAUGCAGGGAUCCAGCUGCCCCGCACUGCUCCUGGCUCUGCUGGUGCUCCUUGGCAUGCCGAUGGUUCACGGUGCCUGCGGGCCCCCACCUCGCAUGACCCACUCCCAGCCCUCCGGCACCGAGCAGCUCAGCACCUUUCCUGUGGGCUCCAGGGUGACCUACACGUGUGUGCACGGUGCCAUCAGGAUCCCUGGGGCGCUGGACACGGUGCAGUGCCUGCCUGGCCCGCGCUGGUCGGAGCUGCGUGAUCCCUGUGGCCUGAGCUGCUCUACCCCGACCACGCUGCACUUUGCUGCCCUGUCCGAGGUGGAUGAGAUCACCAAUUUCUACCCCGUUGGGUUCACCGUGAGCUACGUCUGCCGUCCCGGCUACAAGAACAUCUCGGAAAUCCAACCCACCAGCACCUGCCUUGAGAACCUGACAUGGUCGGAGGUCGCAGAGCUAUGCCAGAGGAAGUCCUGUGGCCCCCCGGCUGCCCCACCUGCGGGGAGGACCCUCAGCCCCACGGAUUUUCUCUUUGGCACACGAGCAAGAGUGCUCUGCAAUGAGGGGUACCGACUCCAUGGGAGGAAUUUCAUCCAGUGCUGGCUUAAAGGAGAUGAUGUCGAGUGGAGUAAACUUCCAACUUGUGAAUUAAUCACCUGCUCUUCGCCGCCUCGAAUCAGCAACGGGAGGCACGAUGGUGAAGGGGUAGAAAAAUUUGCUUACAACUCAACAGUGACCUACAGCUGCGACUCCGGCUUCCAGCUCGUUGGGAACGCGAGCCUCCGUUGUACGAGAGCAGACAGCACGAGCGGGGUCUGGAGCGGAGCAGUGCCCAAGUGUAAAGAGAAAAGCCCAUCAGUCAAACUUGGAGCAAAACCAGUGGGAAGGAGUCCUCCUCCCCAGAGUUCCCAGAGACGUGGCCUCAAAGCACCCAAAAAGAUUUUCACGAUGGAUAUGAAAAUCAGCCUCUAUAAAAAGUCACUCCAAAAUACCAACUCCUUCCCUUCUUCUUAUUCGAUCUCCAGGAAACCAGGUGAGCACGGCACAACCGUAGGGCAUCCAGCAGAGCUCAUUCAUGGCUUGUUCCCGUUCUGCAUGCAGAGCUCUCAUUCCUUCCCACGUUUCUCUUCCGUGGCAGGGAGCUGUGCUACCUCAGCACUCAAAUUUGUGGUGCCUUUGUACAAAACCCAAAGCUCCUUCUCUCCUGGAACCCACCAGCGAUCUCCGUGUUCUCCCAAGUACUGGGGCAUCUCUGCCUCUCUCCCCAAGGCCGCCUGCUCCAAAAACAUACAGUGGUCUAAAGUUGCAGCAUUUUGUGGAAGUGAGUGUCUCAUUUCUUGUCCCAUUGUUAGAGGUGAUGCUGCAGCACGCAGCACUGAAUGCUGGGCUCUGUCCCAGCUAACGCUGCCUUGUUCUAUGCCAGUGAGGUCGUGGGCAGGCAAAAGAACCCAGACAUGGCAGAAGUGCUGCUACCACCGAUUUCCCAUCCGUUGCAAAGGGCUCUUUUACCUGUAAGAAUGGUGAGUGUUGGUUGGGUUGGAAGCAGUGGCAAGGUGGGAGGUGUAAGCAGAAAAUCAUCAGUGGGAAAGGCAUAGGACCCCCCAGAGGGUCUCGCUGCACGGCUGGAGAUACAGUGCAAAGGCUUUCUCGGGUGUGAGCCUGGAGCAUCCCUGUGCUGUGUCCUUUGGGACGCAAAGGGGGAUUAAAGUCAGGGGACGCUGGUCCCUUGGUAGCAACAAAGAGUGGCUGGAAGCAUCCUGGAUAACACAGCAGGGAAGGAAAGGGGAAAGCUCUGUUCUGCUUUGUUUUUUCCCCCUAAAAAACCUCUCUGCUGCUCUACCAAGUGACUUCAGAGCAAAAAAAAUAGAUCUAAAACCCUCUUCCUGUUGGUUUUCCUUUUUAAUUGUUUUGUCAUUCUUGGUGCUUCUUCAGGAGGAUGGCUGAACGCGGCAGCUCCGACCCGGCUGCGCUGUGGGAACGCUGCUCUGUGCUACCCCAAAGCAGAGCCCCAAGACAUCAUCCCAGCCGGAGGGAACCCAAGCGAAGGCACCGAGCUCCACCCGCGUGCCUGCUGUGCCAAGCUCGCCCUCAUAGACACGUACGAAAUUUGUUUUUCUAAAUUGCGAUGUGCUUGAUACAUUCCAGGAAACGGGAUGAAAAUAAUUGGUGCCAGUGUUGGCUGAUUGCCUCAGCUGCCUCUCCCAGCGGAGCUUUGAGCAGCUCAUUCUAAGGUCACAAAUCCUCUCCUUGGUCCCUCUGAGCAGGGCAGGCCGUGCUCAAGCUCGGGGCAGAAGCUGUGGUUUCCCCAAACCCCUUUGAGCCAUUUGCAGAGUUCCGGUCGGAGCUCCGCGGCAUUGCAAUCUCUUACAGUCAGAGUUUCCCCCCACCACCUAAUUUCCUUGCUCGUUAGCAACACAGACCGCAGCCACAGCAAUCAGCACAAACACAAGGGCACACAGGGAGCUCAUGGAGGAGACCCAGAUACCUGCAGUGCUCCCUUAGCUACGGGAAUUGGAGUCUGUCGCAGUAAUCGUGCAACCAGAGCGCUGACAUCCUCAUCUUGCAGAGCAUUGCCCUCGUGUUUGUUAGGAAACCGUAGCACUUUGCACAUGCCAUUGAAUGUUGGCCUUCCGAUCUUCAGCACUGGAAGCACUUUCUUUGCCAAAAUCUUGUUGCUGUUGUUGGAUCAAAUGUAAAAUGUUUGUCCUUUGCCACUUCUCUUUCCAUUGAGACUACAGGAAAGCUACCAGCCACGAGCGAGUGCACCCUGCGCUCUCGUGUCGUCACACUGCAAUGGAGAAAGCAGAAAUGUCAGCCUUACAUCAUUAACUGUCAUCUCUGCUCCAUUCUGGACCGUAACUGCCUUAUAGCCAGAGAUGCCGGGGUCUUUAUUUACAUUUCAUAAUAAAUGGGGAUUGUUUCUGGGCCCCAGCUUGGAAGCUCAGCUGCCCACUACUCAUGGUGUGCGUUGUAUGUUCUGUUCGGGAAGGUGUCGGCUUUUGGAGACAUCUCCGCAGCGUGAGCAGUUCUUCAUCAUCACUCCUCCAUAUUUGUCUCCGGCUUUGAUUCUGAUGCAAGUUGAGUUUCUGAGAAGUAAGGCAAGAAAGAAAAGCAGCCCAUGCAGCAGUGCUGGGGAAUGAGAGCGCUCCCGGAAAGCACUUUGAAUAAGAGAGGUGACUGCGGGCCUUUGCCCAAUAUCAGCAAGGCAGAACCCCCGGAGGACGUCCGGCACCAGCACAGCUUCCCGACUGGCUCC
Numida meleagris (helmeted guineafowl) is the source of this 4245-nucleotide RNA transcript. It is a transcript of the gene named complement decay-accelerating factor-like, with no coding region annotated. The transcript is spliced from 9 exons. The record is from RefSeq and is a predicted model, not a curated record. Lineage: Eukaryota; Metazoa; Chordata; Aves; Galliformes; Numididae.